This 245-nucleotide ribosomal RNA is filed under the name uncultured bacterium. RNAcentral's name for it is "partial 16S ribosomal RNA". It matches the Rfam family "Bacterial small subunit ribosomal RNA", at positions 32 to 254 of the family's 1533-position model. The record is from RNAcentral.
AAUCAACGCUGGCGGCGUGCCUCAGACAUGCAAGUCGAACGCGAAAGUCUCCUUCGGGGGAUAAGUAGAGUGGCGCACGGGUGAGUAACACGUAGGUAAUCUACCUUCGGAUGGGGAGUAACAACCGGGAAACGGUUGCUAAUACCGCAUAAUGCGAGCGGGCACCUAAUGGUGACAGUUGUUAAAGCGGGGGAUCGAAAGACCUCGCGUCUGAAGAGGAGCCUGCGGCGGAUUAGCAGUUGGUA